AUAACGCCGUUUGAAUCAUAUUUCAGCCACUGUGGGCAACAUCAUCAUCAUAUACCAGCUGAUCAGGUGGUGGUGCGUAUAUAACGCCGUAACCUUUUCCCAUAUCCCAUAUACAUAUAUAUACAUACAUAUAUACGCGUAUAUAACGCCGUCUGAGUCAUGGGUCAAUGUACAUAUAUAAAUGCAUGAAAUGCAUAUGAGAUACAAUAACAAAAUCUCUCGAUACAUCAUAAGACCAUUAUACCUUUGAUUAAUAUCGUAAAAUCAUUUUACGUAUUUUCUGAGACCCAUGAACAAACGAUAUAUGGAAAUUCAAGAACAUAGGCAUUUCUAGUACUUUUAUGAAUAGAGUCAUAUAUGAAAUUUGUGCAUUUGCACAUUUCGUUCGUAUCGUAUGGAUCAUGCCAAAAUAAAGAAGGGAUAGCCUUAACAUACCUUAAGUGAUUCCCUUGAGAAAGAUUGCACCGUACUCCCUUAUAAUUGCAAAAUCUUAUGUUUCUUAUUAAAUCUGGGUUGAAUUGUUGAAGAUCCUUUCUUCUUAAAGUUUGAUAUAUGCACUUCUCUUUACAUUAGAGAGGCAUACGUGAAGUAUCAACAAGGAAGAUCAAACUGGACAACCAAGCGUACUCAUAACAGUAACAUUAGCCAAAUACCUACUAAGCGUUCUAUAAUUUUAUUUGGUAUUAUAAUGGGAAAAUGUUAUGUGUUCUUUCUAAGGUAUACUCACGUUACUUGUAGUUGAAAGAACACUACAUCUGAAUCUCUUCAAGAUCUAAAAGGCCAAAUGAAUUAAAUGGUCAUAAAUUUGUGUUUGAGUGGAUGUGGCCCACUUCAUGUGGUGGCUUAACCACAUGCCUUUAAUUUGCCACCUUUCAAUUUAAUGUAAGAGUCAUUUUAAUUUGAAAGUAGGGGCUGCCACCUCAUGCCUCCAAUCUUUAUCCAAUAUAAUUGCUUAAUUAAUUGAGAAAUAUUCCAUUAUCGAAUAAUUAACCCAUCAUCUAUAUAAUUAAGAAUUAUCUCAAAUUACUUAAAAUACUACUCACUUUUAACACACCUUAUGCUUCUCACUAUCAUGGCGACAGGGUACCUUGUAUGGUACUAGUCCAUAAAUACUGGAUAUUUUAGCUCGGGCCGCAUUUUAUCCCAAAAAUGUCAAACUUCAACGAAAUUUAUUUUCUUUGAUUUGCUUACCUUCUCACCUUCACGAAUUUACUCGUUACUUGUUUGAAAUAGCAUAAUCCUUAUAAUCCCAAAAUAAUCUUUUCCUUGGACUGAUGUCAAUUACCUUACGACAAAUUUAACGUAAAAUAUUGCAGGGUGCAAUACUGUCGUAACUUAUUACUGCGAAGCGUAACAUCUCCGUAAUGUAAUAUUGCUGGGUAGAACACUGUCGUAAUAUAUUACUGCAGAGCAUACCAUUGUCGUAAUACAAUACUGCGAGACAUAAUAUUGACGUAAUAUUACGGGGUGUAACAUCAUUCUCCCCUUUGGAACAUUCGUCCUCGAAUGUUGACAGAUGCUCUUAUCAUUUUCGUAACUUAUUGCUUUUAUGAAUACAUUAAUACUCUUCUUGUCAUUCCAGCAGUUGUUCUGUGAAUAAAUCCAAAGUCUAGGAUAUUUUCCCCUUUAGUCUUUUUGCUCAUAUCAUGAACUGUGGUCGAAAUCUUCAUAAUCUUGCAACGUUUGUUACCUCUUGUCAUGCAGCCCGUAUGACCCUGGCUUUAUAGGUGCACUUAUGUAAUUCAUCUUUCCUUUUUCCUUUUUAACUCUUAGUCAAUCUCUGAGUCUUACUUUGUAUAUAUAAGGCUUAAUAGGAUGCCUCUCGGGCCUCUAUAGGUAUACUGAAGUCCUUUACUCGAUACUUUAUAGAACUUGCGAAUAUGGCCAUAUCUUAUUUCGUGGAUUUGGCUACCCAUUCACAUGACUUUACUGUAUUUACCAUAAUUUCUGCUUCAACCUACCUUUACUGAGGUACGCUUACCAAGCUCCCAGUUACUUUUGUUGCGUAUCCUUUAGGUAUAAAUCUCAAUCCUUCAAUGCUCCUUCAUUACCAUUCGUCUUAAGAACGACGGCCUAAUCUCAUCUCAUAGUUUGUGACUUUUGUCCAUCCAUUAUUGAUUCAUCUCAAUUUUGAUCCAUAAUCCACCCCUGAUAACUUAACCUUUUAUGUAAUAUUGCUGCUAGGAUUCACGUUUUAUUGGGGGACAUCUGAAAUGAUUAGAUUGAUCCAUCUGAGGCGAUACCCUGCUUUCAUAACCGUAUCUCACGGCAUCCCAAUGUGAUUUACCUUUCGUGGAUAUUUUUAUUCUGUCCAAUUCAUGAGAUCCCUUUCUUUUAUUUGUCAGAUCAUUACUCAAUCGAAGGCCCAAACAUCAUUUUUAUCUAUAAUAAUUACACCCUCAUUCUAUUAACGGGGCAGCAUUCCAUCUUUUUUGAAUGUUACUAGCGUUAGACUCCUUUGAGUUCAUUCAGGCUAUACUAAACUUUCAAUGACUUAGAGAAACCAUUAUCUCUCUUCUUUUCAUGGACUUAAUCCUGAGGACUUAUCCUUUUUCGUCGCCUUUUUACUUGCCUUUCCUCAUUCUUACUCAUGUUUUCUUAAAACUUUAUCACUCUACCAUACUUUAGCAUGCGACCUAUAGAUAUCCAUUUAUAAUACUCGCAACUUUCCUUCAACUUGCUUGCACAAUGGAUUUUCUUAUGUUAUUCUGGAAUGUCAACCGAUACAACACAUCGUCUCCAACUCUUCUCUAUUAUUUUAACUAAGUCUCUCAAUACUUAAAAACCAUAGGUUGGAAGACAUGCUGCUGACGAUGCCGCUAUCCCGGUUAUUGGAUCUCCGUGCUUAUAGCUUUCUAUCCGAAGUAUGGACUAUUCACGAUCUUCUGCCUUUAGAUAUCUCGUACGUUGUUCACCUUUACUUUACUUACCUUAAAAUAUCGUAUCGUAUCUUCUAUCUCUUUUCUGACCUCCCUUCCACCUAGGUGUAAUUCAAGUCCAUAACUUGAAGCUCUAUUAUAAUACUCGCACCUCUGGUAUAUACAUAAUCCGGUAGGAGCUUUGUACUGACUUCUUAUGAGGCUAGUAUUCUUCAGUUGGCUUCAUCAUAGAGCUAUUAUAAAAUAUGGCUACUAUACUAUCUUUCUUAUACCUCUGCUACUUAACAGUGAUCCUGAGGUCUAUAAUUCUCUUGGUCCCUUCUGUUUUGCUUAGUUAAUGUAACUCUUUAGUCUCCCCUUCUUUCUAAUGAGCCUCUAUGUAGGCUUAAGCUAUCUUCUGAUCCGUGGCUCAUGGUAUCAAUUAUUACCUUAAAUUUUCAUGGGCAUUAUGGAAUAUCCAUGAUACAAUCUUCUAACAAUUCAAUCCUUUGGCUAUGCCCUGGGCUCAAUUCUUUCUUUUAACUUAUACCAGAGUCUUCUAUGAUUGUGUGAUUGUCAACAAUUAUACUGCCUGGAUAAUGUUCCAAUGUCUUGAGUGUAUCUAUAACAUACUAACUCUGAAUCAUUGAUCGAAUAAUUCUUCCAUUUCAUCUUAGUUUUCUUUCAAUGUCAGCUAUUACUUUUCCUGGUCUUUCUGCCCCUUUGUUGCGUCCAUACUUAGAUUAUCUUAGUGCCCACACUUGCAAGAGUAUCCAUACAACUCAUAUGAUCUCAAAUAUUACUUUUAAUUCUUACUUCCCGUUCAUUAGCCACGGUAGGUGCCACUUUCCUUUGGAGUGCUUACAAUGUUGUUAUAUGACUGUUGUUACACGACCAUUUCCUCUUUAGGUCGUUGUGCUUGGGUUGAAGCCUUCUUCCUGAUUUCCUCAGCUAGUCUUUUGUUGUAGUACUUAGGUAGAAACCUUGACUCUCAUAAAGUUGUGAGCUUAUUACGGACCUUUUGAUGUCCUUCCUUGCCUAUGCUUAUCCGUAGUUACUUAUCUCCACGCCCUUGUGCUUGUAGGGUUGCUUCUGAACUGAUAUUUUGACUAUCUCCCUAGUGGUACUCUCUUUUAUUCCCAUAACAUUCAUAUGGUACCUUUAACUACCCUAACUCCUCUCUGAAUAUAUUUCAAGUAUUAUAAUAACAUUACUGCGAAGCUGAAUUCACUAUAUUGGGUUUUACUACGUUUAUCUUGCACGAUCUUUUGAUUCGUCUGUAACCUCAUGUCUAGCCGUAACUAGGCCCUUCCUUAAUUAAAUGCUAACUACUAGUUGGCCCAUUCUCAUAUAAAUAUUUCACAUAACAAUUCUUGGGUUAUUUCCUUUGUCUUAACUUACGUCUCGCGCUGGCUCCUUAUUUAUUCAUAAUAUUCCGGCAGGAACGCCUCACUUCUUCUCCUUAACGUCGUGUUUGCAUAAUGUUCUAGGAUCGUAGCCUAUCUGUAGGCUUUGAAUAGUGCGAUCUCAUCCCUUUCCUAUUUUUAUUGCAUUCUUCCUUUGCCAUUUUGUAGCUACUAGAACCACUUAAUUCUGACUUAACACCACAUAACUCCAUAUUCCCCCCUUUAGGGGUGUACUAAAAGCUGAAGCCACGAGGAUCUACCUAUAGAUGUUUUACCUCUUUAUCAUUGGUGCCGUUUCUCAACAUCAAUGAUCCUUACUUGCCUUGUGACAAUCCUUCUGUACCAAGGAUGACAAAUUCUCUUACUCGCGAGAGUGACACAUAGCAUAACUGGCACAUACAGUCUCUUAAGCUUAAUUUUGCUCACAUUGUUUGCUCUAGGGAAGCAUCUCCCUGAAUGAAUAUUCUUUGAAUUCAUCGUGAAUCUUUUUCUGUGGUCCCUUCUAUUACCGUUGGAACGAAAUCUGAAAUUCCCAUGAUGCCGAGUACUUUUUAAUCAUGCAGUCCCAAAUUCAUAUUUGGUUUAUCUUGUUUACCAAUUCAUACUGAUUUCUGUUACUCUGGGGAUUAACUCUCCCCUCUGGUAGUUGUGGUGGAGUCACGAACUUAUUUCUCAAAACGAGGAUAUAACCUUAUGGCCUAUAUUCUUUCGUUGCCUUAAGACCCAUCACCUUUCGUCUCUUCCUUCAUUUGACUAUAAGUUCUGUAAUACUCUAGCGUUUUUAUCCAUGUAUCACACCUUAUUCAUAAUGCUUCUUUAUCUCUCUUCCCAUUAUUCUGCUAAUAUUCUGCAUAUCCCUUUUCUUGUGAAAACUUGAUUACGACAUUCUUUCGCUCUUAGCUUUCCAUUGUUCUAUUUAGUGGCUCUUCGAGUUGCUAAACGUUCUCACUUUACUAGAGACGCGAGCCACAUUAGGGUAAUAUGUAUCCCUUCAAGGCUUAUAGUGCAUGUCUUUGUAGCACUCAUAUCUGGCUGCACUUUUUCAAAGUGCACCGUCUGGUGUCUCAUAAGGAGAUCUAUUAGCAUAUUUGCAAUAUCCUUCGGAAAUGUCAACUGACGCAAAUAAUUCAUCCAUCAUAUCUUCUUAUACUACUUUUGUUAACACCUAUAGGGCAUAUCUGGAAAGGGUGCGACCAAUUGUAUAUACCUUUGUUACUAUCGAAUAUAACUCAAAAAGCUUAUGUUUCUCUACCUCAAUUAUAAAUGUUGUUAACAUUCAUCAACUGGGCACCUCGUAUCCUUUUUCACCUUGCUCCUUUUAUUUGCUGAAACUUAUACUUAUCUUCUCUAUCUCUCAUUGUCCUUCAUCAUAAAUAUGGAUAGGUAUUCUUGCCUUAAGACUUCUUAUCAGGAAGCUUACACCUUUCAGUACACUCAUGAUCUGCUAAAAACCUCACAUUUACUUAUCGUAGGCAUCAUAGAAAAAUCCAAUUGCUCUGACUCAGCUCUUCCACAACUAUAUCUCUUUUCAACCUUUUUUCCGGAUAUAGGUAUCGUCUUAUUACGAAUAAAAUAGAAUUUCGAAACUUGAAUUCUUAUAAGUGAGCUCUACCACACGAUCUAGAGUAAGAAGAAAGAGUGACAAUCUUAAAUGCCCUGUAUCCUUCUGUUUAUAAGUGUGGUGCACGACACACCCAUAAACAAGACUCUACUAGACACGACUUGUAGACUUCCUAGGACAAAACUGCUCUGAUACCACUUUUGUCACGACCCAAACCGAUGGGCCGCGACGGGCACCCGGUACCUUACUCAAUCGAGUACCAACGUAACGUAUUUUUCUUAUUACAUUAUCAUAUACACAUGACAUACGACCCUAAUAGGCCAACAUGAUUAUUUAUAAACUCAAGACAUCAGCCGACAAGGCCGUACAAUCUUUCACGUACAAGACAUAUGUCUACAAGCCUCUAAGAGUACAUAAGUGUCACAAAGGUCGGGACAGAAUCCCGCCAAACCAAACAAUAGAUGUCUAAAUUAUACUAACCAAAUACGCAACUCCGAAGCAAAUGGAGCGCACCAACAUCUUCCGCUGAGCUGAUAGCCUACUUAGAGGGAUCUCGACCUGUCUAUCAGGACCUGCGAGCAUGAAACGCAGCGUCCCCAAGCAAAAGGGACGUCAGUACGAAUAAUGUACCGAGUAUGUAAGACACAUAAAUAAAUACAUACAAGACAUGGAAAAAAUAUAGAGUACAUGACUCAACCUGUAAGUCUGAAUAACUUUGUAAAUCAUAAAUUACCUUUAGCGUCAUGCAUAUAGGUAUGAAUGUCAUGUCGUGCAUAGGUACAUGUUUCAUAACAUCAUAGCCUCUAAGGGCAUCCCAUCAUAUCAUAUAGGCCACUGUGGGCAAAAUCUUCAUCGUAUANNNNNNNNNNNAACAUCAUUUUACGUUUUUUCUGAAACCCAUGAACAUACGAUGGAAUAAUAAUACAUAUGGAAAUUCAAGAACAUAGGCACUUCUAGUACUUUUAUGAAUAGAGUCAUAUAUGAAAUUUGUGCAUUUGCACGUUUCGUUCGUAUCGUAUGGAUCAUGCCAAAAUAAAGAAGGGAUAGCCUUAACAUACCUUAAGUGAUUCCCUUGAGAAAGAUUGCACCGUACUCCCUUAUAAUUGUAAAAUCUUAUGUUUCUUAUUAAAUCUGGGUUGAAUUGCUGAAGAUCCUUUCUUCUUAAAGUUUGAUAUAUGCACUUCUCUUUACAUUAGAGAGGCAUACGUGAAGUAUUAACAAGGAAGAUCAAACUGGAUAACCAAGCAUGCUCAUAACAGUAACAUUAGCCAAAUACCUACUAAGCGUUCUAUCAUUUUAUUUGGUAUUGUAAUGGGAAAAUGUUAUGUGUUCUUUCUAAGGUAUACUCACGUUACUUGUAAUUGAAAGAAC
Molecule: long non-coding RNA, 7196 nt
Filed under: Nicotiana tabacum (common tobacco)
Lineage: Eukaryota; Viridiplantae; Streptophyta; Magnoliopsida; Solanales; Solanaceae
Description: long non-coding RNA (NTAB_LNC009008)
Source: RNAcentral